CAGCAGCCGCGGUAAUACGUAGGUCCCGAGCGUUGUCCGGAUUUAUUGGGCGUUAAGCGAGCGCAGGCGGUUUGAUAAGUCUGAAGUUAAAGGCUGUGGCUCAACCAUAGUUCGCUUUGGAAACUGUCAAACUUGAGUGCAGAAGGGGAGAGUGGAAUUCCAUGUGUAGCGGUGAAAUGCGUAGAUAUAUGGAGGAACACCGGUGGCGAAAGCGGCUCUCUGGUCUGUAACUGACGCUGAGGCUCGAAAGCGUGGGGAGCGAACAGGAUUAGAUACCCCCGUAGUCCCUGUCUCUUAUACA
RNAcentral lists this ribosomal RNA (301 nucleotides) under uncultured bacterium. RNAcentral's name for it is "partial 16S ribosomal RNA". It matches the Rfam family "Bacterial small subunit ribosomal RNA", at positions 509 to 808 of the family's 1533-position model. The record is from RNAcentral.